UCCUCAUGCUUCGUUGCCGCUCGAGCGCGCUGCCAAAAGGUCGAAUGGUUGCAAGGAUGGCGGGAGCGAGGCUCUUUCCCUCUUCCCCUCCCUUCCCCUUGAUGUCUCUCUCCUCUCCUCGGUGCUAGCUAUGGGUGGUGUUCGUCGUCGGCUUUCCUGGACUUUCAGGUUAACGGCGAUAGGAUAUGCGGACUUUGUGUCCAACGCUGGUCUUGAAGUUCUGCUUGGCAGAUUAGCUUAGAGUGGCUGCUUUUGGUCGGACCUGCGUGAUGGGAGUUUCUGCUGGUGUAAGCCACGGUGGGCACCCGCUCGCUUCCGCUAACAAUAUCAUGACCAGAUCUACGCGGGAUUGGCCAAAUAUAUGUUGCUAGCUCCGUCGGGCUAUGGUGGCAGGUGGCUAGAUCCACGUGAGGGGUGGGGGUGCGCGGACGCUCGUAGUACCCGUGGUGUUGUCGGUGUCGGGGGAUGCCCAUGUUCAUUGUCGACGUCUUCCUCUAUGAUUGUCUCCUUCACGGUGGCCAAUGGCGGGUGGCGAUGGGUGGGUGUGAGAGAUCAUGGCAAAUGCCUGGACCACGAUAUUCGUGGACAUCGCUUCCUCCUUGGAGGCGUCCUUCUUACACCUCUUCUCAUGUCGAGCUAGGAUUGCGGGUGAAAGCCUUCCUUUGUGGGCUUGCAACGUUGGCAACUUUGGCGUUGUUUCCUUCAUGAAGGUGUCGUGAGGCUUUUCUAGCUCUGUUUCGCUGCUCUAUUCCGGUUGUCUGGCCAUGGUGGUGUUUCAGGUGACUUUGUUAGUGGUGCUUGAUAUCAACGUUUUAGGUUGGUUGUUGGAGUUAGUUGUUUCUGCUAGUUGUGGUGUCCUAAGUUGAUUUAGUGGUGGGGUUGCUAGUUGGGUCAUUUUUUGACCAGGUUGAGUUGCUAGUUGGGUCGUCUUCACCAAGUUGGCUCGGUGAAGUUCACCAGAGCAUGUAGUAGUGUGAAAUUGUUACUAGUCCGAUUGGAGUACCAAGUUAUACAGGAUGAGUGGCCUACUCUCCUUAGUUGCGUGGUUUUUUUUGGUUCGGUUUCCACAUAAAGAACUGGGUUGACACUUAUUUUUCUUUUUCAUUGUCUAAUAUAAAUAGCAGCAAAGCUUUUGGCGUCCUCUCUACAAAAAUUAAGUCGUUGGAGAAUAGUUUUUUUUCAUCGAAAUCUCUAUUCCUAUCAAUAAGGAUAUAAAUAUGUUCUUAGAUUUACUCUUGGAGGCGACUGAAACCAGUUUUUAGAGACAGCUGCACCAACUGCCUCUAUUUAUGUGUUUCUAGAAAUAAUCCAUCUUUAGAAACUAGGAGCAUACUCCGCGUGUUGCUGCGGGAAUUGCGGAUUAGUAGAUGGAAACGUAUCUAGUACAAACCACAACCUUUGUGAAAACUCGUGCAAACCACGACAAAAAAGUUGUCUAGAUUCACAAAAAAAAUCACACAUGGAGAUGAUAUGAUG
RNAcentral lists this long non-coding RNA (1476 nucleotides) under Sorghum bicolor (sorghum). RNAcentral's name for it is "long non-coding RNA (SBIC_LNC007149)". Lineage: Eukaryota; Viridiplantae; Streptophyta; Magnoliopsida; Poales; Poaceae. The record is from RNAcentral.